GGAUCCCGUUCCGUAGGUGAACCUGCGGGAAGGAUCAUUA
Molecule: ribosomal RNA, 40 nt
Filed under: Steinernema sp. CS3
Lineage: Eukaryota; Metazoa; Nematoda; Chromadorea; Rhabditida; Steinernematidae
Description: partial 18S ribosomal RNA
Source: RNAcentral